AGGACGAACGCUUGCGGCGUGCCUAAGAAAUGCAAGUCGAACGGACAGUCCAGCAAUGGUCUGUUAGUGGCGAACGGUCGCGUAACACGUAGGCAACCUGCCCGAAAGUGGGGACAACAGCCUGAAAGGGCUGCUAAUACCGCAUGUGGCCCGGUGGUGGCAUCACUACUGGUCUAAAGCUUAAUGCGCUUUCGGAUGGGCUCGCGGCCUAUCAGGUAGUUGGUGGGUAAUGGCCUACCAAGCCGACGACGGGUAGCUGGUCUGAGAGGACGAUCAGCCGGAUUGGGACUGAGAUACGGCCAGACUCCGUACGGGGGCAGCAAUUAGGAAUCUUGCGUCAAGUGGGGCCAACCGUGACGCAGCGACGCCGCGUGCGGAUGAAGGCAGUUCGUGUACGUAACCGUCGUUUUACGGGAAGUAAGUAAUUGACCGGUACCGUCGAAUACGCCCGGACUAACGUACGU
This 464-nucleotide ribosomal RNA is filed under the name uncultured soil bacterium. RNAcentral describes it as "bacterial SSU rRNA". It matches the Rfam family "Bacterial small subunit ribosomal RNA", at positions 26 to 506 of the family's 1533-position model. The record is from RNAcentral.